CCUACGGGAGGCAGCAGUGAGGAAUAUUGGUCAAUGGGCGCGAGCCUGAACCAGCCAAGUAGCGUGAAGGAUGACGGCCCUACGGGUUGUAAACUUCUUUUAUAAAGGAAUAAAGUGAGGCACGUGUGCCGUUUUGUAGGUACGGGAUGAAUAAGGAUCGGCUAACUCCGUGCCAGCAGCCGCGGUAAUACGGAGGAUCCGAGCGUUAUCCGGAUUUAUUGGGUUUAAAGGGAGCGUAGAUGGGUGGUUAAGUCAGUGGUGAAAGUUUGCGGCUCCACCGUCAAAUUGCAAUUGAUACUGGCAUUCUUGCGUACAGUUGAGGUAUGCGGAAUUCGUUGUGUAGCGG
This 346-nucleotide ribosomal RNA is filed under the name uncultured bacterium. RNAcentral's name for it is "partial 16S ribosomal RNA". It matches the Rfam family "Bacterial small subunit ribosomal RNA", at positions 338 to 681 of the family's 1533-position model. The record is from RNAcentral.